Astyanax mexicanus (Mexican tetra) is the source of this 3053-nucleotide long non-coding RNA. RefSeq lists it as uncharacterized. The record is from RefSeq and is a predicted model, not a curated record. The transcript is spliced from 2 exons. Lineage: Eukaryota; Metazoa; Chordata; Actinopteri; Characiformes; Acestrorhamphidae.
UUAAGAAUUUUUUUGAUCAAACUUCAGGAUUCAGUUACUGUGUUUACCUCAGACUUACCACUUCGUUGGGAAGCUGCUGGAAAACAUGGAACAGGAUGCUUGGACUUCUCUUCCCACAUACAUCAAUAAAAUAAAUCAGGGAUUCAUUACUCAGCAUGGGCAAGGGCAGCCUCCAGGGAGCAUCUGAGUUGCAGCUGGUGGGAUACUGGAGCCGAGGCCUCUUUGUCAGGCUGGCUGUGGUGGGGAGGGUUCCUGGCACCGUGAUUUGGUGGACAAACAGAAAUAAAAAUCACAUUGCCAGGGAUUUCCACCCCUGCACUGCUCUCCAGGUGCUCGAGGGCAACUCACUCCACCUGCACGCGGACACACCUUCUCCCAUGACUCAUCCUCUGAUACCUCAUAGCUGUGGACAGAAGAACAGGGCUUUGUCAGUGAAAGGUGUCAAUGGGUUCACACUGCUGCGAAUACAACCGGGCCUUAAAGAGAUAUUGCUGACAUUAGCUGUGCGCCGCUGGAUGUCCGAGAUGCCUUUGAUGCUGUGCAAGUGUUCUUUGCACGUUUUUUGCACGAGUGCUGCUCUAAAUUAAAGAGCGUUCUGGCCUUGUUUGCGCAACCUCUCAGGCAUCCAGUUAAUUUCAGUGCCGCUCCUCGGUAUGUUUUUCGAACUCAACAAACACACAAACAGUGAGUCACGUCUUUGGAAAUAUUAUGUAUGAAUAGAUAAUGACUUACUGGAAUAGCAAGUUGAGGGAAAGUAUAGCUGGCCACAAAGCUCUUCUGGCUCGCAACGAGCUUACAUUGUGCUCAGUGGGUUGUUAUUUGCAUGCUAACUAUGAAAACCACACGUUAUGAUUCAUAAACUGUCUAUGUCACUCUAGAAGCCAUUCAUUCAUAUCAGUUGCAUGCUACAUGGGGUGAAAUAGCCUGAUGUGGGACAUUUUUGCUUUCGGGAUUCCUAUUUGAGGAUUUUUUCAGCCUAGGCUAAGAUUGGACAUUUAAGAGCUCGGCGAAUUUUGAAUACAGGCCAACAUAGCUUGAGCUAACCCAUGGUUUUAUUGACUUUCAUGACUUUUAUUUUGUGUAAGCCCUAGGGUGCAUCCGCAUUGUGCAUUAACUAGUACUUCUAGUUUGUUUUUGUUUUAGGAUACAAGAGCGAGUAUCAUCAUAACAUUUUCCCAUGUCUUAUACACGCUAAAGAGCAAGCCAGACCCCACCGGUCAUGAUUAUUACCACCAACUGCAGUGUCUACCAUGGGUGGUAAUGUCUUUUUAAAUGUAUGCCCUGUAUAUUUUGGUUUAAAAAAGGAAUGUUAAAUGCCCUGGCACACCUAGCAACCACUAUAAGGCCUCACUUCAACUACAGUAAUUCAUGUGACUUGUCAUGAGCAUGUUGACUAGUUUACAACGUAACAAGAUAACACUUAUAACAUACAGGUGUGAGCAUUUGUAAAGUGUUCUCUGUAUUAACACUUCAUUAGCAGCUUACAUUUUGCUAUCCUAUGAAUAUUUCUUCAGUAAAAUACAGAAUUGGGAUGCACCCCUACACUGAACCACGCUUAAAUGUCCCACAUAAAGAGAGUUCAGUCUACAGUCUGCUAGGCAGUCCACUAUCUGUCUCCACCUCAUACGCUUUGUUGUCGCUCCAGCCCAGACUGUCACUUGCUAAAGGCUCAGAGCUUAGCUAAUUGGUGAGCACUGGUCCCUUCAAUGUUCUGUUCACAGUGGCUAAGUUCAGCGUCUGCAGUGAAAGAAUUGACUGGAUGAUGAAGAAAAGCUCUUUACCGGAUAAUCACAGCACUACUCCCGUGAAGCCUGAGGGUGGAACACUGAUAGAGAGUUUGUGGUGUGAGGAGGUGGAGAAGUGUGCAGAAGGUUUUUUUUUUUUAUAAAGAAGGACAGAAUACUUUGGAAAUGUCAAACUAGUUAUGGCACACUGAUCUCCUAUUGACCUUCCCUAAAGAGCAGUUUUGGCUUGAAAUAAUAGUACAAGUUUAUACAGGCCUCUCACUGUGCCCACUGACCUGGAGUGGCCAAUAGGUCAAACCACCAUUAACAGAAACUGGCAAAAACCAAUUGGGAAGCUAAUGUUUCACAUUUUAGUUUUUUUCUUUACCUUUGUGUGUUUGCUCCAAUUCAACUGGUUUAAUUUGGUCUAGAUUUAUAAAUAUAUAAAUAAAUAAAUAAAUAGAAGGAACUUCUAUUUCUAUAAAAAGGGAAUACAUUCUUACAAAUUAUAAUAAAUAACAGAAAUUAGCAUUAUGCUAGCUUGCUACUUCUUUAGCUUUUUUUCAGUCUCAGCCACAUUCGCCUUUGGCCCUUUUUCAGCUACUUAUCCACUUGUGGCAGAUUUAAACCUUUCCUUAGCCAGUCCAUGUAGACCUUUAAGAUGUAUGAUCUGAUUGGCUGUCCUGUAAUGCACCUUCUUUAAAAAUAACUCCCUAACAAUGUGGUAAUGGGUGGAAUUAAACUGUGGUAGGCUGAAUGGGAGGGGAUUGUGACAGAGGGCAUAUCAGUCCUGGUUUUAUAGGGCCCAGGCCUUCGGUGCCUGCUAAGCUGGUAUCAGUGUAUCCAAAGAGAGCUGGCUCAGCUCAGCAGGAACAGGAGUCCAGGCUAUAACAUCACAUCAACCACCCAGCCUGACACCUGAGGCGUCCUAUUGAAGGACUUCAUGCAGGCAGCUCCAUAUUUUUGGGAAAAGUAUUUAUGUGAAUUUUUCUCUAUUAUUUAAACACAGUUGUGUAGAUAAUUCAUUGCACAAUUACUUAGAGAUAUGUUUCUCUGUUCUUGUUUUCUUUUAGUGAUUUUACUUGUGUUUAAAGAAAUGCUCUGACAGGAAAUUAAGUGAAUAAGAUUUUUCAUUUAUUGCAGUUGAUCAGCCAAGGCAUGUUUCAAAUUUGGGGUCAGUGAUUAAGUUAAUUUGAUUGGUAGCUCAUUUAUUUCAUGAUUUGCUGAUCUUCUGUAAAUCUCUUUUGCAAAUGUUGUAAUUCUGGUAGGAUUCAUACGUUUAAAAAACAUUUUAUACAUUUGUAAUAAAAAUUUACCUUUGUUUUUCUA